GCCUCGGUAGCUCAGUCCCGGUUAGAGCGCACCCUUGGUAAGGGUGAGGUCGCGGGUUCGACUCCCGCCCGGGGCU
RNAcentral lists this transfer RNA (76 nucleotides) under candidate division MSBL1 archaeon SCGC-AAA385D11. RNAcentral's name for it is "candidate divison MSBL1 archaeon SCGC-AAA385D11 tRNA". It matches the Rfam family "tRNA". Rfam says of the family: Transfer RNA (tRNA) molecules are approximately 80 nucleotides in length. Their secondary structure includes four short double-helical elements and three loops (D, anti-codon, and T loops). Further hydrogen bonds mediate the characteristic L-shaped molecular structure. tRNAs have two regions of fundamental functional importance: the anti-codon, which is responsible for specific mRNA codon recognition, and the 3' end, to which the tRNAs corresponding amino acid is attached (by aminoacyl-tRNA synthetases). tRNAs cope with the degeneracy of the genetic code in two manners: having more than one tRNA (with a specific anti-codon) for a particular amino acid; and 'wobble' base-pairing, i.e. permitting non-standard base-pairing at the 3rd anti-codon position. The record is from Rfam by way of RNAcentral. Lineage: Archaea; Methanobacteriati; Methanobacteriota.